Molecule: RNA transcript, 1428 nt
Organism: Callithrix jacchus (white-tufted-ear marmoset)
Lineage: Eukaryota; Metazoa; Chordata; Mammalia; Primates; Cebidae
Gene name: small nuclear ribonucleoprotein E pseudogene
Source: RefSeq, a predicted model, not a curated record
GAGAGCUACUUCCGGUAGGGGAGGGGGAAUGCGAGCAGAGUUCUGGAUGCAGUAGAGAGGGAGCUACCUGGAGAUGGAGGAUGAAUAUUCAUGCACAGGCCUUGGGGGCUGCAACAUCUCUGGCACAAUGCUGAGCAUCAGGGCUCUAAAGACUUGGCCAUGAAAAAAGCUGAAGUCCCCAGAAGAAGAGAUAAGACUUGUACUACAAGGCUGUCCAUCAAGAAAAGACAUGAAAGAGAUUGAAAAAAAGACGGCUGCAGGUGCAGCCAGGAGUCCCUGGAAUAUGCAGAAUAUAUAUGUGCAUCCCUCACACAGUGAUGUCAGCCACACUUUUCUACAAGUACUUGACUUGGCUGUUUUUGGCUUGAGCCCAGUGGACUCAUACACCCGAAGACACCAUCAGCAGAUGACUAUUAACAUGAGAAUGAGCCAUGCUUUGUGCUUGCUUGUUUGCUCUUUGUGGAUUUCCUUUGUCUUGCUAUUUAGCAUAAACUCUUUGGAAAGUUUUCUCUACCCAGAACCACCCCCUCGAGACCUAGACCUCGUGUUUACCUCUGAAUGACAGCUGAUAUUGCACAACCUCUAGCUUUAUCUCCAAACCAUCAUAUACAGUUUGAAAUACAAUUCAAAAUAUUUGCAACAGAUACAAUUUUAAAAGGGUCCAUAUCCUUCACAUUCUUCUUCUGGAUCUUGUUCUAAAUGUAUUUGAAAAUAUGACAAACUCUUACAAAUUCAUUUUUUUAAAGCCCAGGAGAAAAAUUAACCAAGCAUGUAAUUAAAUACUUUUCAAGAGAAAAAAUAGUAAUUGUAAAUAAACAUAUCUUAAAAGGUUGGGCUGGGCAUGUUGGCUCAUAUCUGUAAUCCCACCACUUUGGGAGGUCAAGGUGAGUGGAUUACUUGAGCCCAAGAGUUUGAGACCAGGUUGGGCAACAUAGUGAGACCCCAUGUCUACAAAAAUUAAAAAAAAAAAAAUUAGCCAGGCUUGAUGGCAUGCACCUGUUGUCCCAGCUACCUGGGAGGCUGAGGCAGGAGGACUGUUUGAGCCCAGGAGGCCAAGGCUGCACUGUAACAGCAUCAAUGCAUCACAGCCUGGGCCACAGGGAGAGGCCUUGUCUCCAAAACAGAAACAAAGAACAAGAGAUUGAUUUUAUGAACAAUAAAGAAGAUGUAAAGUAUAAGAAGAAGGAAACAGGUUUUUCUUUUCAGAUUGACAAAUAGUAUAAAGAAAGACACUAUGCAGAACAAUGGAGGGCUGUGCGAAUUUCUGCUGUCAUUCACUGGGGGCGGGAGCCUCUCUGAAGGGCAGUUUGUUUCAAAUUGUUUUCCUCUGAAAAGAAAAAGAAAGAAACAGUAUGGAUGAUCUUAACAGUAUAAACAUGUAACAAAUAUUUUAUUUGUUACAUUUUUGUUACAUUAAAAUAUAAUAAG